CAGCAGCCGCGGGAAUACGUAGGUGGCAAGCGUUGUCCGGAAUUAUUGGGCGUAAAGGGCUCGCAGGCGGUUUCUUAAGUCUGAUGUGAAAGCCCCCGGCUCAACCGGGGAGGGUCAUUGGAAACUGGGAAACCUGAGUGCAGAAGAGGAGAGUGGAAUUCCACGUGUAGCGGUGAAAUGCGUAGAGAUGUGGAGGAACACCAGUGGCGAAGGCGACUCUCUGGUCUGUAACUGACGCUGAGGAGCGAAAGCGUGGGGAGCAAACAGGAUUAGAUACCCCGGUAGUCCCUGUCUCUUAUAC
This 301-nucleotide ribosomal RNA is filed under the name uncultured bacterium. RNAcentral's name for it is "partial 16S ribosomal RNA". It matches the Rfam family "Bacterial small subunit ribosomal RNA", at positions 509 to 807 of the family's 1533-position model. The record is from RNAcentral.